This 248-nucleotide ribosomal RNA is filed under the name uncultured Staphylococcus sp. Its description in RNAcentral is "partial 16S ribosomal RNA". It matches the Rfam family "Bacterial small subunit ribosomal RNA", at positions 505 to 752 of the family's 1533-position model. Lineage: Bacteria; Bacillati; Bacillota; Bacilli; Caryophanales; Staphylococcaceae. The record is from RNAcentral.
GUGCCAGCCGCCGCGGUAAUACGUAGGUGGCAAGCGUUAUCCGGAAUUAUUGGGCGUAAAGCGCGCGUAGGCGGUUUUUUAAGUCUGAUGUGAAAGCCCACGGCUCAACCGUGGAGGGUCAUUGGAAACUGGAAAACUUGAGUGCAGAAGAGGAAAGUGGAAUUCCAUGUGUAGCGGUGAAAUGCGCAGAGAUAUGGAGGAACACCAGUGGCGAAGGCGACUUUCUGGUCUGUAACUGACGCUGAUGU